GGGUUAGGGUUUCUCUUCUUCUCCAGCCGAAUCCAUCACCAAUGGCGAGCGACGGCACCGUUGGCAACGGCGUUAACAAGGUGGUGUUCGCCGCCUUCAAGCCGCAGCUUGCUGUCCCGGCGCUGAAGGCCGACGAUGCGGUGAAGUUCUACAAGGGCGCCUUCGGCGCCGAGGAGCUGAAGCGCGCCUCACACCCCAAGCGGAAGGCCGAUCAGGAGUCCCCG
Molecule: unclassified non-coding RNA, 224 nt
Filed under: Hevea brasiliensis (rubber tree)
Lineage: Eukaryota; Viridiplantae; Streptophyta; Magnoliopsida; Malpighiales; Euphorbiaceae
Source: RNAcentral